CCUACGGGUGGCUGCAGUGGGGAAUAUUGCACAAUGGGCGCAAGCCUGAUGCAGCCAUGCCGCGUGUGUGAAGAAGGCCUUCGGGUUGUAAAGCACUUUCAGCGGGGAGGAAGGCGUUAAGGUUAAUAACCUUGGCGAUUGACGGUACCCGCAGAAGAAGCACCGGCUAACUCCGUGCCAGCAGCCGCGGUAAUACGGAGGGUGCAAGCGUUAAUCGGAAUUACUGGGCGUAAAGCGCACGCAGGCGGUCUGUCAAGUCGGAUGUGAAAUCCCCGGGCUCAACCUGGGAACUGCAUUCGAAACUGGCAGGCUAGCGUCUUGUAGAGGGGGGUAGAAUUCCAGGUGUAGCGGUGAAAUGCGCAGAGAUCUGGAGGAAUACCGGUGGCGAAGGCGGCCCCCUGGACAAAGACUGACGCUCAGGUGCGAAAGCGUGGGGAGCAAACAGGAUUAGAUACCCUAGUAGUC
RNAcentral lists this ribosomal RNA (465 nucleotides) under uncultured Klebsiella sp. RNAcentral describes it as "bacterial SSU rRNA". It matches the Rfam family "Bacterial small subunit ribosomal RNA", at positions 338 to 795 of the family's 1533-position model. The record is from RNAcentral. Lineage: Bacteria; Pseudomonadati; Pseudomonadota; Gammaproteobacteria; Enterobacterales; Enterobacteriaceae.